AGAACGAACGCUGGCGGCAGGCCUAAUACAUGCAAGUCGAACGCACUCUUCGGAGUGAGUGGCAGACGGGUGAGUAACGCGUGGGAACCUUCCCAAUGGUACGGAAUAACUCCGGGAAACCGGUGCUAAUACCGUAUAAGCCCCUCGGGGGAAAGAUUUAUCGCCAUUGGAUGGGCCCGCGUCGGAUUAGCUAGUUGGUAAGGUAAUGGCUUACCAAGGCUACGAUCCGUAGCUGGUCUGAGAGGAUGAUCAGCCACACUGGGACUGAGACACGGCCCAGACUCCUACGGGAGGCAGCAGUAGGGAAUCUUGGACAAUGGGCGAAAGCCUGAUCCAGCCAUGCCGCGUGAGUGAAGAAGGCCUUAGGGUUGUAAAGCUCUUUUGGCGGGGACGUAAUGACGGUACCCGCAGAAUAAGCCCCGGCUAACUUCGUGCCAGCAGCCGC
This 445-nucleotide ribosomal RNA is filed under the name uncultured bacterium. Its description in RNAcentral is "SSU rRNA". It matches the Rfam family "Bacterial small subunit ribosomal RNA", at positions 26 to 518 of the family's 1533-position model. The record is from RNAcentral.